RNAcentral lists this unclassified non-coding RNA (331 nucleotides) under soil metagenome. RNAcentral describes it as "partial contains 5.8S ribosomal RNA, internal transcribed spacer 2, and large subunit ribosomal RNA". The stretch from base 1 to 120 matches the Rfam family "5.8S ribosomal RNA", at positions 35 to 154 of the family's 154-position model. The record is from RNAcentral.
GAUGAAGAACGCAGCGAAAUGCGAUAAGUAAUGUGAAUUGCAGAAUUCAGUGAAUCAUCGAAUCUUUGAACGCACAUUGCGCCCCCUGGUAUUCCGGGGGGCAUGCCUGUUCGAGCGUCAUUUCACCACUCAAGCCUCGCUUGGUAUUGGGCAACGCGGUCCGCCGCGUGCCUCAAAUCGACCGGCUGGGUCUUCUGUCCCCUAAGCGUUGUGGAAACUAUUCGCUAAAGGGUGUUCGGGAGGCUUCGCCGUAAAACAACCCCAUUUCUAAGGUUGACCUCGGAUCAGGUAGGGAUACCCGCUGAACUUAAGCAUAUCAAUAAGCGGAGGA